UGCGCAGGCGGUUAUACAAGACAGGCGUGAAAUCCCCGGGCUUAACCUGGGAAUUGCGUCUGUGACUGUAUAGCUAGAGUGUGUCAGAGGGGGGUAGAAUUCCACGUGUAGCAGUGAAAUGCGUAGAUAUGUGGAGGAAUACCAAUGGCGAAGGCAGCCCCCUGGGAUAACACUGACGCUCAUGCACGAAAGCGUGGGGAGCAAACA
RNAcentral lists this ribosomal RNA (207 nucleotides) under uncultured bacterium. RNAcentral describes it as "partial 16S ribosomal RNA". It matches the Rfam family "Bacterial small subunit ribosomal RNA", at positions 568 to 774 of the family's 1533-position model. The record is from RNAcentral.